UGACCGUGGCCAAUAUGAUACG
Molecule: microRNA, 22 nt
Filed under: Blattella germanica (German cockroach)
Lineage: Eukaryota; Metazoa; Arthropoda; Insecta; Blattodea; Blattellidae
Description: Bge-Novel-9-P1_3p* (star (passenger))
Source: RNAcentral